Molecule: long non-coding RNA, 410 nt
Filed under: Anser cygnoides (Swan goose)
Lineage: Eukaryota; Metazoa; Chordata; Aves; Anseriformes; Anatidae
Description: lncRNA (ENSACDG00005012481.1)
Source: RNAcentral
AAAUUUUUGUGGAAAUGUGUACAGUCCUGGGGGAGAGCAAGUUCGUCAAGGAUACCUGCCUUGUGUCAUUGUGAUUUUAAGUUUUGAAGAUGCUGAGGACCAGCAGCAGCUCCUGCAAACUUCAUUGGCAGCUGGGAAGAAUCAACAGUGAGAAUUCAUCCUAUGGGAUCACCCAUUUGAAUUUGUGCCAAUCUCUACAGGAACCUGAUGCCAGCAAUUUAAGGAUCUUCACAUUCAGUCUCAGUGGUUCCACUGAAAUCAGUGGGAACCUUUCCAGUGGUUUGAAGGGGACUUGGACUGGAUCCCUGGGGAGUGAAAGAGUCAAGAACUGGAUUGACAGGAGAGGUAGUGGGGAAUACCUUCCAAGCCCAGCUGAAUUGUGCAUCAUUUGUACAGAGCAAUUGAAAUGA